CAGGGGCCUCCGGGAAUCAGUCGUAUGAUGCGCGAAUAUAUCGCGAUUCGGAACGCAAGUCCGAUCGCGGUAUGCAAACGUCGUGUUCGUUCGGCGCAUUUCUCGGAGGUUAGCACUGCGACCGAUACGAAAGGCCGAUGAAGCGUUCGGAUUGAGGGCGAGCACCCUUUACGGGGCGUUCGUAACCAGUCCGGGCGUCGUCGUCGGACCGCAGUAUGUAUCGAGCGCUUGAGUCACGUAUGCGUCGGCUGCAAAGCUCGCUCGAGUAACGGAUAGUUGGUCAAUCGGUUGGUCUCUGCUCGCAGGAACUGAUCUAUUCGAUUCGGCUAAGAAGUUAUCGGCGACAUUCCGGCGUAUAGGCGUCCGCAGUGUCAGCGUCGGUCACCCGUCCGACCCGUCUUGAAACACGGACCAAGGAGUCUAACAUAUGCGCGAGCUAAUGGGCGGAAAACCCAAAGGCGCAAUAAAAGUAAAGGCCGUUUCGGACGGCUAAGGUACGAUCCUAGUCGCCUCGUCUUCUAGGCGCAGUACCGUCCCGUCCCGACCGCAUAUCGGUAGGGCGGAGAUAGAGUGCAUACGUUGGGACCCGAAAGAUGGUGAACUAUGC
Molecule: ribosomal RNA, 607 nt
Filed under: Crassolabium costaricense
Lineage: Eukaryota; Metazoa; Nematoda; Enoplea; Dorylaimida; Qudsianematidae
Description: LSU rRNA
Rfam family: Eukaryotic large subunit ribosomal RNA
Source: RNAcentral